RNAcentral lists this non-coding RNA (348 nucleotides) under Clostridioides difficile. RNAcentral's name for it is "Intron_gpI". It matches the Rfam family "Group I catalytic intron". Rfam says of the family: Group I catalytic introns are large self-splicing ribozymes. Lineage: Bacteria; Bacillati; Bacillota; Clostridia; Peptostreptococcales; Peptostreptococcaceae. RNAcentral also lists the same sequence under 1 other name. The record is from RNAcentral.
CUCCCUGCAUUCAUAACGAGUGUAGAGUGGCAGAUAUCUGCCCAAAACUCCUUUAAUUGCUGGAAGUUCCUAAAGCUAACUAAACCACAACAUAAUCAUGAAAUAAGGAUAAGUGUGAUAGAGUGUGCAUUUAAUAAGCACUUGAGGUUACGAAAGUAGAAAAAAUUAGUUAGAUAGCAUAAGGUUAAAUCCUAAGUGCCUUGAAAAUGGAUAAUCAGCAGGUAAGCUUCGAAAAGAAGAAACUUCAACGACUAGAGAGAAAUCUCGUACCUACAAGUGUGGGGAAAUGGGGAGUACCUAAUUUAUGGUUAGGUAAUGAUAUAGUCUGUGCUUAAUAGAAAUAUUAAG